Molecule: ribosomal RNA, 353 nt
Filed under: uncultured Leptolinea sp.
Lineage: Bacteria; Bacillati; Chloroflexota; Anaerolineae; Anaerolineales; Anaerolineaceae
Description: bacterial SSU rRNA
Rfam family: Bacterial small subunit ribosomal RNA
Source: RNAcentral
GACCCUUCGGGAGCUUGCACAGGUGCUGCAUGGCUGUCGUCAGCUCGUGUCGUGAGAUGUUCGGUUAAGUCCGCUAACGAGCGCAACCCUCGCUGUGUGUUAUAUGUGUCACACGGGACUGCCGGGUCUUAAGCCGGAGGAAGGUGGGGAUGAUGUCAAGUCAGCAUGGCCUUUAUAUCCUGGGCUACACACACGCUACAAUGGCCAACACAAUAGGUUGCUAAGCCGCGAGGUGGCGCCAAUCCAUAAAGUUGGUCUCAGUUCAGAUUGUAGGCUGCAACCCGCCUGCAUGAAGAUGGAGUUGCUAGUAACCGCAGGUCAGCUAUACUGCGGUGAAUACGUUCCCGGGGCUU